AAAAAAAACCUCUAAAGGGGACCCACCAAAAGUCGAGCUGUCAUCUCUCUGCUGAACGGAAGUUCUGACCUGAGCUCUCACGGUUUCGCACCUAACCCCUUACAGAUAUCAUCUGUGGUAUAUUCACCUGUAAGACUGAAUAUUGGGAUCUGAAUACGGGAGUAUAUUCAAGUAGUGGGACACACGGAUAAGUUUAAGUGUUUAAAACAUUAAUAUCGUAUCUCGAAUCAGUAGAACUUUGUGUGAAAAUUUAAGUGGACCAGUAUACUUACAAUCUAGGUAAAUUGUUUAGAACUUAGAAUGAAAUCAACCUUAACGGUGUUGGUGAUUUGUCUCUUCAGCUGAUAUGAUCCUCUUACACAAACUCACAAAAAUAAUGUUUGUAAAUAUUUCUUUACUGCAUUUUAAUUCUCUUGUGUCAAAAAUCCAAAAAGAUUUUCAGUGUGUUUUAGAAUUAUUUUUGAAAAAUUCAAAAAGAUUUUCGACAACUGAUAUUGAAAAGUUGAUUUUCAAAAUUCUGAGUGCUAAACAUGAUGAAAAAAUGGUUUGGGAGAGUGUGUUGAUUUGAAAAUAAAAAUGAUGUAUCUUCAAGUGGUUCUUCAAAGAUUAACAUUGUAAAAUCAUUCUUUGAUUGUAUAACUUCUGCAAGUGAUUUAUUAGAUUUUUACAAGUUAUCAUCAGACAAUUUAUUGUGAGGUAGAGGAUGUGCAGGUUUCUAAGUGAUAGAGAACCAGGUUCCGAUACCUGAAGACUUUGUGAUUUCAACAUGCCAGACUGCGAUCCCAGCAUAUCGAAAGGGGAAGUCUGAAGACAUCUGAGUAGAGAUUGUUCGUGGGGAGUCUGUAGAUGAUGAUGAGAAGAGAAGAGAAAGACUUGAGGAUGCUUACACUGUGAGAUAUUUCAGAGAGCGUUCAGACUGAUAAAGACUGAAGUUGUUGAAGACUCGACACUUAAGACUCGUCAACAUCUGAGGGGGAGUCUGUUGGUGCAGUCAUCUGUCGUCUUCGUUUAAUGUCGAGUCUGGGUUGCGUUGCGUUGCGGUGUUGAUCAAGCAUGAUGUCAUCAUAUAUGAUGAUGACAUCAUAUUGAUGACAUCACAUAUUGCAUCAUCACAUGUCAUCUACAUAUUCCAAAUCAAGUAAACGACAAAGAUCAAAGGAUUUGAAAUUAUAUUAAAAUGGCCAUUUGAUGAUUGGACCAUUAAAGGGUCCAAUGAGAUGUCAACAUGUGAAGGUCCAAUAGAAAGGUUGGCUUGAUGGUCCAAUGAGAAGGUUCACUUGAAAGACAAAAGAAUUGUAUAGGUUCGCUUAUUCUUCAUGGGAGGUUCGCUUUUAAGUCAACAUGUGGGUUCGCUUUUACGGCAAACAUGGGAGGCUCGCUUUUACGGUUAUACAUAUGGUUCGCUUAUGUGUUCAGUGUCAUUUCGAGUGAACCAACAAUAUUAUAAAUAGGCAAGUUGUCAUUUUCAUUUGUAAUGAUUCCAGAUUUGAUACCGAGGUAUUGCCGGUGUUCCUUGUAACUGUAAACGCUGUAAAAUCAAUAUACAAGAGGUUUAAAGUGUGAUUCAAGCUGUAUUCACGUCCGUUUCUUUGUUUCCGCCUCUGAAACGGAUUUAAGCUCUUCCGAACGACUCGUUUAGGUCGCAAUCCGAUCCUACACUCACCAAACCCUAACUCCACAAAUUUGAUCAAUUGAAGGCUAAUUCCUGUCCCAAAUCGAAAUCUGAACAUAGAUUCGUGAUCCUCAUCACAAGGGGGUUACAAGGAAAGGACACCGAAGCAUCAAGCGGACAAGCCGGUGGCAACUUGCGUUUGAAGGGUCCACUUUGAAGGUGAUGUUGGAACUAACCGGAAGAUGAUCGAGCUAGCUUUUGAAGAACCGAACACUAUUUAUAAGCUUCCGCAAUGUUUUAAACUUUGAUAGAUUAUGCUUAUGGGUUGUAAACAAAUUGUUAAACAACUUUUGGAUGUUUUAACUUAGUCGUUAGUUGACUAAGGUCUUUGCUACUUAUGAAAUCUAUGUUAA
Molecule: long non-coding RNA, 2025 nt
Organism: Helianthus annuus (common sunflower)
Lineage: Eukaryota; Viridiplantae; Streptophyta; Magnoliopsida; Asterales; Asteraceae
Exons: 3
Source: RefSeq, a predicted model, not a curated record